GACGAAGGAUGCAAGCGUUAUCCGGAUUCAUUGGGUUUAAAGGGUGCGUAGGCGGACUUGUAAGUCAGUGGUGAAAUCUCUCAGCUUAACUGAGAAACUGCCAUUGAUACUGCAGGUCUAGAGUACAGAUGAUGUGGGCGGAAUAUGACAUGUAGUGGUGAAAUACUUAGAUAUGUCAUAGAACACCGAUUGCGAAGGCAGCUCACAAAACUGUAACUGACGCUGAGGCACGAAAGUGCGGGGAUCAAAC
Molecule: ribosomal RNA, 250 nt
Filed under: uncultured bacterium
Lineage: Bacteria
Description: partial 16S ribosomal RNA
Rfam family: Bacterial small subunit ribosomal RNA
Source: RNAcentral